AGUGAACGCUGGCGGUAGGCCUAACACAUGCAAGUCGAACGGCAGCACAGUAAGAGCUUGCUCUUACGGGUGGCGAGUGGCGGACGGGUGAGGAAUACAUCGGAAUCUACUUUUUCGUGGGGGAUAACGUAGGGAAACUUACGCUAAUACCGCAUACGACCUACGGGUGAAAGCAGGGGAUCUUCGGACCUUGCGCGAUUGAAUGAGCCGAUGUCGGAUUAGCUAGUUGGCGGGGUAAAGGCCCACCAAGGCGACGAUCCGUAGCUGGUCUGAGAGGAUGAUCAGCCACCAUGGAACUGAGACACGGUCCAGACUCCUACGGGAGGCAGCAGUGGGGAAUAUUGGACAAUGGGCGCAAGCCUGAUCCAGCCAUACCGCGUGGGUGAAGAAGGCCUUCGGGUUGUAAAGCCCUUUUGUUGGGAAAGAAAAGCAGCAGGUUAAUACCCCGCUGUUCUGACGGUACCCAAAGAAUAAGCACCGGCUAACUUCGUG
This 492-nucleotide ribosomal RNA is filed under the name uncultured bacterium. Its description in RNAcentral is "partial 16S ribosomal RNA". It matches the Rfam family "Bacterial small subunit ribosomal RNA", at positions 29 to 507 of the family's 1533-position model. The record is from RNAcentral.